Molecule: ribosomal RNA, 465 nt
Filed under: Vreelandella stevensii
Lineage: Bacteria; Pseudomonadati; Pseudomonadota; Gammaproteobacteria; Oceanospirillales; Halomonadaceae
Description: partial 16S ribosomal RNA
Rfam family: Bacterial small subunit ribosomal RNA
Source: RNAcentral
CCUACGGGAGGCUGCAGUGGGGAAUAUUGGACAAUGGGGGCAACCCUGAUCCAGCCAUGCCGCGUGUGUGAAGAAGGCCCUCGGGUUGUAAAGCACUUUCAGUGAGGAAGAACGCCUGGUGGUUAAUACCCAUCAGGAAAGACAUCACUCACAGAAGAAGCACCGGCUAACUCCGUGCCAGCAGCCGCGGUAAUACGGAGGGUGCGAGCGUUAAUCGGAAUUACUGGGCGUAAAGCGCGCGUAGGUGGCUUGAUAAGCCGGUUGUGAAAGCCCCGGGCUCAACCUGGGAACGGCAUCCGGAACUGUCAAGCUAGAGUGCAGGAGAGGAAGGUAGAAUUCCCGGUGUAGCGGUGAAAUGCGUAGAGAUCGGGAGGAAUACCAGUGGCGAAGGCGGCCUUCUGGACUUACACUGACACUGAGGUGCGAAAGCGUGGGUAGCAAACAGGAUUAGAUACCCUGGUAGUC